This 23-nucleotide small nuclear RNA is filed under the name Arabidopsis thaliana (thale cress). RNAcentral describes it as "snRNA_11961". The record is from RNAcentral. Lineage: Eukaryota; Viridiplantae; Streptophyta; Magnoliopsida; Brassicales; Brassicaceae.
CUGAUAUCUUUGAUACUCAGUAU